Kurthia sp. 11kri321 is the source of this 189-nucleotide non-coding RNA. The record is from Rfam. Lineage: Bacteria; Bacillati; Bacillota; Bacilli; Caryophanales; Caryophanaceae.
AACAACUGAUAUUAUGACACCACGGCGGAGAACCCAAAUAAUCUCCGUGACUAGAUGGAAGCUAAUACUCCCACAUGCAAUACUGGUAACAGAUUGUGUGAAGUUGGGUGAAGACGCAUUAAGUAGCCCUAACAGGUCAAGCUGAGGAAAGGUUAAACAUACUGUGAACAUGGUGCGGGCUGGGAACUG